This 72-nucleotide transfer RNA is filed under the name Chryseobacterium sp. JV274. RNAcentral's name for it is "Pseudo tRNA". It matches the Rfam family "tRNA". Rfam says of the family: Transfer RNA (tRNA) molecules are approximately 80 nucleotides in length. Their secondary structure includes four short double-helical elements and three loops (D, anti-codon, and T loops). Further hydrogen bonds mediate the characteristic L-shaped molecular structure. tRNAs have two regions of fundamental functional importance: the anti-codon, which is responsible for specific mRNA codon recognition, and the 3' end, to which the tRNAs corresponding amino acid is attached (by aminoacyl-tRNA synthetases). tRNAs cope with the degeneracy of the genetic code in two manners: having more than one tRNA (with a specific anti-codon) for a particular amino acid; and 'wobble' base-pairing, i.e. permitting non-standard base-pairing at the 3rd anti-codon position. Lineage: Bacteria; Pseudomonadati; Bacteroidota; Flavobacteriia; Flavobacteriales; Weeksellaceae. The record is from RNAcentral.
GAGAUAAUAGUAAUAAUGGAAAAAUACAUUUUGCUAAAAUGAGUUGCAGGUUCGAUUCCUGCUUAUCUCCCA